This 253-nucleotide ribosomal RNA is filed under the name uncultured bacterium. RNAcentral describes it as "partial 16S ribosomal RNA". It matches the Rfam family "Bacterial small subunit ribosomal RNA", at positions 524 to 776 of the family's 1533-position model. The record is from RNAcentral.
UACAGAGGUCCCAAGCGUUGUUCGGAUUCACUGGGCGUAAAGGGUGCGUAGGUGGUUGUGUAAGUCUGAUGUGAAAUCUCCGGGCUCAACCCGGAAAUGGCAUUGGAUACUACAUGGCUUGAGGGUUGGAGGGGGGACUGGAAUUCUCGGUGUAGCAGUGAAAUGCGUAGAUAUCGAGAGGAACACCAGUGGCGAAGGCGAGUCCCUGGACAACACCUGACACUGAGGCACGAAAGCUAGGGGAGCAAACAGG